AAAAUGAACAGCAAACUGUUUAACUUUAAACAGCUUUUCCUGUUGUGGGAAAGCAGCAAUCCAACUCUUCCCACAAUGCCUUUCUCUGAGGAAGGACACUGCAUUGAGGUUUUUAGGGAAGUUAUAUGGAGGAGUACUGCCAGUUGCUUUGCUCUGACAGCAAGUAAUGUUUGGACAAUUUCUUCUUAUAUUCCCCAUCAGAUGUUCAGCAAUAUCUAUGGCAAUAAUGUUUUAUCACAUUUCUUUGCAUUAAAGGAGCAACUGAGAGAAUACUAAAAACUAUUCAAGCAGAGAGAGAAAUAGAGGAGAUGGAAGAGAACAGAAAUGAUGAAGAAAACAGAAUUCAAAACGACUCUUUGUGUGGCUGGUCCAUUGGGCUUCUUGCCUUUUCCAAAGAACACCAACGCUUUGGCUGUGCACACAUUACCAUAUACUGAACAUGCUCCAGCGUGUUUCCGUUACUGCUGCCUGAAGCCGUGUACACGUGACAUUAGCUACAAUCCAUAUCCACCCUGUAGUUUCUUGAGAAGUACUGGACUGAGAGAUAUGAAGGGACAGAAUAUACAUGGAAUGUGAAUGGAAACUGAAUGUGGCUAUUUAAACAUGAUCUACCUAACGAAACAAGAGCCAAACAGCCCUCUCUGUUUUCCCACUGCCAGUUAGGUGAGUCCUGUUCUCCUUUGCAGGUGUUCUCUUUGCCUUUGGGGAGCAGCCUUUCAAAAGUGACAGGUUCUGUGAAAUUACUUCAGUUAUAAACCCCUCCAACCACUGAUUUGAUCUGUGGUUGGGUCGUCAGCAGGAUGAGAAACUGAGGAAACCAUGAGUAGUUUCACAUGAAGAGCUACAAUAUCUAAAGUCACAGAUGGGCAACUAUGAGAGUGUGUUGACAUACCAUACAGUGAGAUUGUGGCUCACCUCACAGGAGCACAUAGUUGGCAACUUGACAACAACUGCACACUGAAAUACCAUUGCCCCUGAAAACCUCACUGUCAGGAUUCUUCGUUCCUGACCUGUGCCACCUUAUACCAUUUGGUAGUGCCAAACUGCAUACAACUAAAAAGGCACAACUUGGAGACUUCAUUGCCACAGUUGCUCAACUGAAAUCAAGUCAGGUGUUCUGAAGGAGUAAAAUGAAGAUGCCUGGUAGCUGUUAGCAUUUCUAAUGGUUUUUUUUUAACCAACUACCAUUUAUGUCUAGUGUGAAAUUUCUCUAGGCUGUAGAGGUCCCUUGGAAUGAAAGGUAUACAUUA
Zootoca vivipara (common lizard) is the source of this 1250-nucleotide non-coding RNA. The record is from RefSeq and is a predicted model, not a curated record. NCBI's taxonomy places the organism in Eukaryota, Metazoa, Chordata, Lepidosauria, Squamata, Lacertidae.